UUACGGCCAUAUCACAUUGAAACAUCGGUUCCCGUACGAUGACCGAAGUUAAGAAACAUCAAGACGUGCCUGUAGCUAGAUGGGUGACCGCUCGGGAAUACCAGGUGCUGUAAG
Acanthosepion pharaonis is the source of this 114-nucleotide non-coding RNA. Lineage: Eukaryota; Metazoa; Mollusca; Cephalopoda; Sepiida; Sepiidae. The record is from the annotation of a GenBank genome assembly.